This 253-nucleotide ribosomal RNA is filed under the name uncultured bacterium. RNAcentral's name for it is "partial 16S ribosomal RNA". It matches the Rfam family "Bacterial small subunit ribosomal RNA", at positions 524 to 776 of the family's 1533-position model. The record is from RNAcentral.
UACGAAGGGAGCUAGCGUUGUUCGGAAUCACUGGGCGUAAAGCGCACGUAGGCGGAUGUGUCAGUCGGGGGUGAAAUCCCGGAGCUCAACUUCGGAACUGCCCUUGAUACAGCACGUCUUGAGUCCGAGAGAGGUGGAUGGAAUUCCUAGUGUAGAGGUGAAAUUCGUAGAUAUUAGGAAGAACACCGGUGGCGAAGGCGGUCCACUGGCUCGGUACUGACGCUGAGGUGCGAAAGCGUGGGGAGCAAACAGG